GAUGAACGCUGGCGGCGUGCCUAAUACAUGCAAGUCGAGCGAACAGACGAGGAGCUUGCUCCUCUGACGUUAGCGGCGGACGGGUGAGUAACACGUGGAUAACCUACCUAUAAGACUGGGAUAACUUCGGGAAACCGGAGCUAAUACCGGAUAAUAUAUUGAACCGCAUGGUUCAAUAGUGAAAGACGGUUUUGCUGUCACUUAUAGAUGGAUCCGCGCCGCAUUAGCUAGUUGGUAAGGUAACGGCCUACCAAGGCAACGAUGCGUAGCCGACCUGAGAGGGUGAUCGGCCACACUGGAACUGAGACUCGGUCCAGACUCCUACGGGAGGCAGCAGUAGGGAAUCUUCCGCAAUGGGCGAAAGCCUGACGGAGCAACGCCGCGUGAGUGGUGAAGGUCUUCGGAUCGUAAAACUCUGUUAUUAGGGAAGAACAAAUGUGUAAGUAACUAUGCACGUCUUGACGGUACCUAAUCAGAAAGCCACGGCUAACUACGUG
Molecule: ribosomal RNA, 497 nt
Filed under: uncultured bacterium
Lineage: Bacteria
Description: partial 16S ribosomal RNA
Rfam family: Bacterial small subunit ribosomal RNA
Source: RNAcentral